This 254-nucleotide ribosomal RNA is filed under the name uncultured bacterium. RNAcentral's name for it is "partial 16S ribosomal RNA". It matches the Rfam family "Bacterial small subunit ribosomal RNA", at positions 524 to 776 of the family's 1533-position model. The record is from RNAcentral.
UACGGGGGGAGCAAGCGUUGUUCGGAUUUACUGGGCGUAAAGGGCGCGUAGGCGGCCAGCGCAAGUCAGUUGUGAAAUCUCCGGGCUUAACUCGGAAAGGUCAACUGAUACUGCGCGGCUAGAGUGCAGAAGGGGCAACUGGAAUUCUCGGUGUAGCGGUGAAAUGCGUUGAGAUCGGAAGGAACGCCCGUGGCGAAAGCGAGGUCCUGGACGCUUACUGACGCUGAGGCGCGAAAGCCAGGGGAGCAAACGGG